GCACUACGGUGCUGAAGCAACAAAUGCCCUGCUUCCAGGAAAAGCCUCUAAGCAUCAGGUAACAUCAAAUCGUACCCCAAACCGACACAGGUGGUCAGGUAGAGAAUACCAAGGCGCUUGAGAGAACUCGGGUGAAGGAACUAGGCAAAAUGGUGCCGUAACUUCGGGAGAAGGCACGCUGACACGUAGGUGAAGUGAUUUACUCAUGGAGCUGAAGUCAGUCGAAGAUACCAGCUGGCUGCAACUGUUUAUUAAAAACACAGCACUGUGCAAACACGAAAGUGGACGUAUACGGUGUGACGCCUGCCCGGUGCCGGAAGGUUAAUUGAUGGGGUCAGCGCAAGCGAAGCUCCUGAUCGAAGCCCCGGUAAACGGCGGCCGUAACUAUAACGGUCCUAAGGUAGCGAAAUUCCUUGUCGGGUAAGUUCCGACCUGCACGAAUGGCGUAAUGAUGGCCAGGCUGUCUCCACCCGAGACUCAGUGAAAUUGAACUCGCUGUGAAGAUGCAGUGUACCCGCGGCAAGACGGAAAGACCCCGUGAACCUUUACUAUAGCUUGACACUGAACAUUGAGCCUUGAUGUGUAGGAUAGGUGGGAGGCUUUGAAGCGUGGACGCCAGUCUGCGUGGAGCCGACCUUGAAAUACCACCCUUUAAUGUUUGAUGUUCUAACGUGGACCCGUGAUCCGGGUUGCGGACAGUGUCUGGUGGGUAGUUUGACUGGGGCGGUCUCCUCCUAAAGAGUAACGGAGGAGCACGAAGGUUGGCUAAUCCUGGUCGGACAUCAGGAGGUUAGUGCAAUGGCAUAAGCCAGCUUGACUGCGAGCGUGACGGCGCGAGCAGGUGCGAAAGCAGGUCAUAGUGAUCCGGUGGUUCUGAAUGGAAGGGCCAUCGCUCAACGGAUAAAAGGUACUCCGGGGAUAACAGGCUGAUACCGCCCAAGAGUUCAUAUCGACGGCGGUGUUUGGCACCUCGAUGUCGGCUCAUCACAUCCUGGGGCUGAAGUAGGUCCCAAGGGUAUGGCUGUUCGCCAUUUAAAGUGGUACGCGAGCUGGGUUUAGAACGUCGUGAGACAGUUCGGUCCCUAUCUGCCGUGGGCGCUGGAGAACUGAGGGGGGCUGCUCCUAGUACGAGAGGACCGGAGUGGACGCAUCACUGGUGUUCGGGUUGUCAUGCCAAUGGCACUGCCCGGUAGCUAAAUGCGGAAGAGAUAAGUGCUGAAAGCAUCUAAGCACGAAACUUGCCCCGAGAUGAGUUCUCCCUGAGACUUAGAGUCUCCUGAAGGAACGUUGAAGACGACGACGUUGAUAGGCCGGGUGUGUAAGCGCAGCGAUGCGUUGAGCUAACCGGUACUAAUGAACCGUGAGGCUUAACCUUACAACGCCGAAG
RNAcentral lists this ribosomal RNA (1387 nucleotides) under Salmonella enterica. Its description in RNAcentral is "partial 23S ribosomal RNA". It matches the Rfam family "Bacterial large subunit ribosomal RNA", at positions 1574 to 2925 of the family's 2925-position model. The record is from RNAcentral. RNAcentral also lists the same sequence under 1 other name. Lineage: Bacteria; Pseudomonadati; Pseudomonadota; Gammaproteobacteria; Enterobacterales; Enterobacteriaceae.